CGGGCCCAGCGGGCGGCGCAGGCCCGCGCCGAGCUCCCUGCGUUUGGAUUGACUUCUUACCAUUUUGAUAUUUACAUCCUUUUCCAGCCUCCUGGAGACCUGUAGGCAGAAGGUCAUUGCGGUUACUAACACAAAGUCAAAAUCUACCGGUACCAUACGGAUAGUAUAUCCCAAGGUCUUUUGCUGCCAGUCAAAUUAAAAUGGAUUCUCCCUUAGAUAUCCAAAACAGAUAACAAAUUAAAAAUCUGGGAAGGCACAUCUGAAAAAUAGCAUAGGUAAACAUCAGCCUUUGCUCUGCAGGAACGCUGCUCUGUUUUCAAAUGGCGAGAAUUUUGAACACAAGCUGCGGGUAAAACACAUUCUGGAUGCUAUGCUAAUGGUUGUUACCGUCCUUGGCUUGGCAGAACAUUAACAAUCUCAGUUAAACCACUUUAAGUGAAGCUUUCCCUGAAAUUAGGACACUGUGAUUUGGACUGGCGACGUUCCAGCAGUGUGCAGCAUGGUGAUAGCUAGAGCAAGCGAGCUGCGGUGAGCAGCUGCUCUGCCGCAGAGAUGCUCGCCUCACUCCCCGUUCACUUUCCAGGAAUGUCCAGACAGCAAAGACCAACAAAACUUACACACGGACCCAUGUGGCUUGAUACCUUCUGAAGGUGUUCCUAAUGGAUCUUCCAAACUGAUGGUUUAAGUAUCAUGGUGUUUGGUACUGUAAAAAUAUCUGGAUUUCCAGAGUGCAAUCACUCUUUUACAUGUUCUCAACUUGAAGUCGUGACUCCUGCAGGUGUUAUGGGGUCAGAAAAAACAAUCCUAAUCUCAUUUUCCUGAGAAGAAGAAACAUUAUGGAUGGACAAAGAACUGAUCCCAGUGCUGCUCUUGCAUGGAAGAAAAAGCAGAAUUGACAAGCUAGGAAAAAAAAAAGCAGGAACAUUUUUCCGUAUUUAAAUAUAUUUCUCCUAUGUCACCCACCUGAAGUGAUUUUUUACUUUUAAAAUAAGGUGGGGGUUUUUGAUUUUCACUUAAAUUAAAACUUUUUUAUUGGCAGCUGGAGCCCCAGCUUAGAGGCUUAGAGGCCUCAGGUUCAUACACACAACAGCACUGGAUGUGACUGCAACAUCAGGAACUGUGGAGUGCAGUUAUUGAAUUUGCCUUCAUCAGAGGAAUUUAGAUAGUGAGGCUCUGGCUUGCAACUUCUUUAAUGAGGUUAAUGAGGCCAGCACAUUCUCAAACGGUUUCAGCUGCUUUAAAGUCAUCUUCCAGAUAUUUUGCCAAAAAAGCGUGCACUGAAACAAAAAGAUGUUAGAGCUGCAACUGUCAUUCAACUUACAACUGCAACUGGAAUUCAGCUUAAGAACAAGUAGGAAACAGAAGUGGUUUUUAAAAGAUGACUGCAGGGAUCUGUAAAGCAAAAGUGCAGGUAUACAGACAGUUAUUUUUUUCUUUUAUUUUUGUAGCAUGUAUUUCAUAUUAAAUACAUGAAAGAGGGAGAAUUGCAGAAUUUCUUUACCAUAACUCUUUAACACGUCAUAAAAGUUACAAAUAUGAGUUGCAAGCUUUUUAUUAACUAGUUAUGUUGCAAUGGUACCUAUAACCUACACCUAUAGCCAGUAUGCUUGCAGAAACUCAGGAGUUAUUUAAACUAAAUCAAUGAGGAUGUGAGUAUGAUGCAUUACUCUUCAGUAAUAUGAGUGCACCAAUACAGAUUUAUUUUUGCUGCUAAGGUGGAAAAUAGAAGGGUCUGGCCUAGCCUAGAGUUACUCUGUUAAAACAUGAAAGCUUUGAAUGCAUCCUGUGGCCUGAAAACAAUAUUCUGUGGGAAGAUUCCCUUGCUACUUGAUAAACAUUUUCUUCUCAAGGGUCAAAUAUGCAGUCUUGCAUAUACGUCCUUCAUCCAGUUUCACUGCAGUUUCACAAGCAGAAUCAAUAAGAUUUUUUUUUUUUUGUAAAUUGUGGUUUCACAGUACAGAAAUCUGGUUUGUUGAUACAAAUGUUCAUUCAGUGCUUAAUGGUUUUUAAAUUAGCUUAUAUAAUCACACAAAAAUUAUUUAUAUGAACAAGCCCAAGUGUAUUUGCAUAAACUUUAGAUAGAUGUGGCUACAGACAUUGUUGAACAUGAAUGCCAGGCUGGAAUUUUGAGAGCCUGAGGUACUGUCAAUGUUUUAAGACUAUCAAAUCCCAGUGGUAUUAAAUCACCAGGAAAAAAAAAAAUACACAGGAGCUUGUAAAAUGGGACAUUGGGCUAUUAUUCACAGGAGGGAGCUAAGAAAAAAAGUGACCUGAAGACCCUGUUUUAAGAAAAAAAAUUUCUGCAGUUUUCAAGAGACUCAUGAACUUUGUCUCAGAAUCCCAGCCAAAGCCAAAAUGUGCAUUUCAUUCUGCUGAAAGCAGGGAAGAAAUGUAUUUCAGUCUUAUCCAUUAUCAAAACUGAAAAACAAUGAUUUUAAGAGUCAAAAGUUUUUUUAAACUGAAUAAAAGGUUGUCUCCAAUUUUCAUUCAAGAAAAUAUAAAAGCACUACAUAAUACUGUACAAAACCUAUUCAGAAAUGAUUUGGACUAUUUUACAUGUAUGUGUAUGUUUCCCUCAAUUAAAACUUGGAAGUUCAUGACAUUCUUAUCAGUUCUGAUCUAGAGCAACUGAUAUGUUUUUCAGGCUGUUCUCAAAACUGUAGAAUUCCCUGACCCAUUUUCGGGUUAUAAAAAAUCCUUAUGUUUUUUUCCUCAGUUUUCUAAAAGCUUUUCUCAGAUUAAAAUCUAAGUCAGUCUGUCUGUCCUAAUGAGGCAUCCUAGUGACAUCACUGUGCACACACACACACAAACACAGUCUCUAGACUUACAUUUCUCCUCACUCUGGGUGGCCUGAAAACCUAAUAUUUUCAGAACUGAAAGGUGACUAGUGCACCACAACAGAAAGGUAUUUUGAGUUUCAACAAGCUUUUUCUUUUACAAAUUUCAAGCUUUUGUAUUAAAAAAAAAAAACUAGGAAUUCAUAUGCCAUUUAGCAGAAUAAUACAUGUUCUUUCAGUUCAGUGUCCCCUAAGUCACCUAAUGACACAGAUCUAUUUAUGAGGCACAUGGAUGUCAGGAUUUCCUGUCUUGACAGAGUCUUUGCAAGUUUUAUGAUCUCUGCCUUUCCCCCAACCCGCCCCCACAAUUUCAGUUUUGUGUGUUUUAUUUGCAUACUAAGAAUACACACAGAGCUUCCAUUCUUGCCCUGCUAGGCAGAUAUUGCUGUUAAAUUUGCAGUGAUUGUUUUCUAUGAUAUUGUCUGGUGGAGUUAAUUUCUUAUGUCUGGAAAAAACCCCAAAACACAACCUAGUUGAAUUACAGUAACUAUGACUCAUUGAUCUGAGACAUCUGUUGAUAACCCCUGAAGUCACUCUAUUUCAACACUGAAACAAUUCAUAACCCUCUCACGAAACAAACGGGAAACAUUAAUGGAUUAGUAACUUUUAUGUUCUGCCCUCCUGUGAUCUUUAGGCUCAAUAGAGAUGUAAGUGAACUGUAAAAAUAGGCAAGCAUUAGUUGUCUAGACGUCCUAGAUGUGGCCAUCCUCUCUGGUAGUUGCCCUGGGGUAGUCAUUAGAAAAUCUAUAUCCAAGCAGACUCAAGUUCCUUCCAAGGGGUGCUGUUGGCAAUACUUUCCAAAUUGAAUGCAAUAGGUGUAAAUGCAGCAGUGCAUUUUUCCUAACUGGUAUUUCUUGCCUAAAUAUUUAAAUGGCUUUUACUGAGACUGGACUUUCAGAAUGACAGGGGAUGAGUUUUGUGUACAAAUACUUUUUGUCACUUUUUGUAAUUUGCUUUCCAUUCUUUAUGUCAUGUCUAUAUGAACUCUUAAUUACAAUUUAUUGACAACUAGCAUAAAAAGGCAUUAUUUUUCUACUAUGACAUUACUUGAAAAUGUGCUUAUAUUAGCAAUUUUAAGCCUUGAUGAAACAAGUACAACAAUUAUGUAAGGAACAAAUAACACUACAGAAUUUUGCAAGCAAGCAGAUAGUUUAUGAUUGUACAGGACUAUUAUAACUGAAAAUGUACAGGCAAUAAUUUUGCAGGUUUUUGCUGCUGUAAAUCCUUCAGCUUUUUUUUUUUUUUCAUCUUUAUUAUUUCUGAGAAAUGGGGAGACAAAAGCUGUUCAGUGAAAUCCAUCACCAACAUAAAAUUAGAGUGAUGGAGGGUUUUGAGAUUUAUGCUGGUUUAAUAGAAAUCAGAUUCCUGCUCUAACAUUAGAGAAACACAUUUGGUUAAAAGUAAGAUAUGAUGGAAAAUUCUUUUCUGUCUGUUUUUUGAAAAGUCCCUAAUACCCUUCUAAAACUGUAAACCUGCAAUUAAUGCAAGCACAUAGAGUAAAAUAUUCAUGAUGUUAUCUUCUAGAUGAGCGCUUAAGCCCUGUACAGCUGUGUUGUGUGUGGAUAUUAAACUUCCCAUAACA
This is a long non-coding RNA of Passer domesticus (house sparrow), 4419 nucleotides long. RefSeq lists it as uncharacterized. NCBI's taxonomy places the organism in Eukaryota, Metazoa, Chordata, Aves, Passeriformes, Passeridae. The transcript has 2 exons. The record is from RefSeq and is a predicted model, not a curated record.